GAUAUUGGCGUAUUUUCCAUAGAAACAUGGAACUCAAAACUAACUCUUUUAGCACUGCUACUUUCACAGUGAAAAUUAUAUUAUAAGGGUCACAU
This is a long non-coding RNA of Aricia agestis (brown argus), 95 nucleotides long. RefSeq lists it as uncharacterized. The transcript has 3 exons. NCBI's taxonomy places the organism in Eukaryota, Metazoa, Arthropoda, Insecta, Lepidoptera, Lycaenidae. The record is from RefSeq and is a predicted model, not a curated record.